CCUACGGGAGGCUGCAGUGAGGAAUAUUGGUCAAUGGGCGGAAGCCUGAACCAGCCAAGUCGCGUGAGGGAAUAAGGCCCUACGGGUCGUAAACCUCUUUUGCCGGGGAGCAAGGGCGGGGACGUGUCCCGGCCCGGAGAGUACCCGGAGAAAAAGCAUCGGCUAACUCCGUGCCAGCAGCCGCGGUAAUACGGAGGUUGCGAGGGUUAUCCGGAUGUAUUGGGGUUAAAGGGUGCGUAGGCGGGCUUUUAAGUCAGCGGUAAAAAUUCGGGGCUCAACCCCGUCCGGCCGUUGAAACUGGGGGCCGUGAGUGGGCGAGAAGCAGGCGGAAUGCGUUGUGUAGCGGUGAAAUGCAUAGCUAUCACGAAGAACCCCGAUUGCGAAGGCAGCCUUCCGGCGCCCUACUGACGCUGAGGCACGAAAGUGCGGGGAUCGAACAGGAUUAGAUACCCGUGUAGUC
Molecule: ribosomal RNA, 460 nt
Filed under: uncultured bacterium
Lineage: Bacteria
Description: partial 16S ribosomal RNA
Rfam family: Bacterial small subunit ribosomal RNA
Source: RNAcentral